GAUGAACGCUGGCGGCGUGCUUAACACAUGCAAGUCGAACGAGAAGUGAAGACGGAAACCUUCGGGCGGAAGGCUUUAUUUCGAGUGGCGGACGGGUGAGUAACGCGUGGGUAACCUGCCUCAUACAGGGGGAUAACAGUUGGAAACGACUGUUAAUACCGCAUAAGACCACAGCACCGCAUGGUGCGGGGGUAAAAACUCCGGUGGUAUGAGAUGGACCCGCGUUCGAUUAGCCAGUUGGCGGGGUAACGGCCCACCAAAGCGACGAUCGAUAGCCGAUCUGAGAGGAUGACCGGCCACAUUGGAACUGAGACACGGCCCAAACUCCUACGGGAGGCAGCAGUGGGGAAUAGUGCACAAUGGGGGAAACCCUGAUGCAGCGACGCCGCGUGAGUGAAGAAGUAUUUCGGUAUGUAAAGCUCUAUCAGCAGGGAAGAAAAUGACGGUACCUGAGUAAGAAGCCCCGGCUAACUACGUG
RNAcentral lists this ribosomal RNA (478 nucleotides) under uncultured bacterium. Its description in RNAcentral is "partial 16S ribosomal RNA". It matches the Rfam family "Bacterial small subunit ribosomal RNA", at positions 28 to 507 of the family's 1533-position model. The record is from RNAcentral.